This is a long non-coding RNA of Lycium ferocissimum, 694 nucleotides long. RefSeq lists it as uncharacterized. The record is from RefSeq and is a predicted model, not a curated record. The transcript is spliced from 2 exons. Lineage: Eukaryota; Viridiplantae; Streptophyta; Magnoliopsida; Solanales; Solanaceae.
UACACCUGUACUUUACUACUAUUUAGAAGUGAACAAGAGGUGGACAAACACCGCAGUCACUUAUUGUACCAAGAGUAAUGUAAAUGGUACUUUAUACUUGGGCCCAUCUGAUUGGAUAGAUAUCUUUAAAUCUAUCCUGCUAACUAGUGUAUUACUUUUUAGUUUUAAGCAAACCAUGCGUACUCCUGUAUGAUUUCUUCGAUGUCGUCUCAGAGGUAUUUGUGACCAAAUUCUCUGAUUCCACGGCUCCAGUUCAGUGGCUGUUUGGGGCGUAGAAGAUGACAGUGAAUGAGAUUUUGAAAUGAAGUUUUUGUUACUAGAAUCUGAGAUGAUCUGCAACCCUUUGUUCAUUUACUGUAAAGCUCUUGCAUUUAUUCAUCUGUUACUUCUUCAUUUAUUUACCAGUAAACACUCGGAUUUGAGCUUUGUUUAAUUUUCUUUUCCUAAUAUGUUUGAAUCUUCAUAUUGUGUUUCGCCGUUUCCUAGAUAGUUCCCCCCUUUUGCUCUUUGUCCUGACAUGCAUGUUUCGAUUUGUCACAAAAUGCUGUGCAUACUGAAUUCACCCAAGUUAUUUGAUGAUAUGCUUGAGACAUCUGAAUAAUUGUUUACUGUUUUUUUUCUUUUUCCCACAAGUGUUAUAUAAAAUUAUCAUCUAUAAGGUACACCAUUUACUUCUACGAGACAUUAUUGUCAA